UUCAAAGGCCUUGCGAUUUUUGGACAACGAUAAGCAGGUUUUCCAUUAGGGUUUUGGAAAGGCUGUGAAGAUGAGUGACAAUUUGAUGGAUAAAGUAAGCGCAUUUGGUGAGCGCCUCAAGAUUGGAGGUGCUGAGGUGGGCCGAAAGAUGAGUGCUGGGAUGAGCUCAAUGAGCUUCAAAAUGAAGGAGCUGUUCCAGGGUCCAAACCAGGCUGAUAAACUUGUUGAGGAAGCCACAGCAGAGACCCUUGAAGAGCCUGAUUGGGCCUUGAAUCUUGAACUCUGUGACAUGAUUAAUCAUGAAAAGGUUAGCAGUGUUGAAUUAAUCCGUGGUAUAAAGAAGCGGAUCAUGAUGAAGAAUGCUAGGGUUCAGUACUUGGCCUUGGUGUUACUAGAAACAUGUGUUAAGAAUUGCGAGAAAGCUUUCUCGGAGGUUGCAGCUGAGAGGGUCCUUGAUGAAAUGGUGAAGCUGAUUGAUGAUCCUCAGACAGUUGUUAAUAAUCGUAAUAAGGCUUUGAUGCUGAUUGAAGCAUGGGGGGAAUCAACUGGUGAGCUGCGCUAUUUACCUGUUUAUGAAGAGACAUACAAGAGUCUAAGAUCGAGGGGAAUCCGAUUCCCUGGUCGUGACAAUGAGAGUUUGGCACCCAUCUUUACCCCUCCUCGUUCAGUUUCAGCACCUGAAGUGGAUGCUAGUCUUGCACAGCAGAUUCAGCAUGAUAUUCCUGUGGUAACCUUUACGGCUGAACAAACAAAGGAAGCAUUUG
RNAcentral lists this unclassified non-coding RNA (764 nucleotides) under Hevea brasiliensis (rubber tree). Lineage: Eukaryota; Viridiplantae; Streptophyta; Magnoliopsida; Malpighiales; Euphorbiaceae. The record is from RNAcentral.